CGCCGCUCUCCACCUACGAGCGGCGGACGAACCGAAGAAAGGAGUUCAAUUUCCCGCAGGAUCCGCGGUGCGGCAGUGUGGAGACCUGCCGUAACGUCUCCGUACAUUUUCGGCGGAGACAAGGUCCGGGCAAGCGGAGGCUCCCGGAUCAGGAUCGGAGCAGCAUGGCA
RNAcentral lists this non-coding RNA (170 nucleotides) under human gut metagenome. RNAcentral's name for it is "malK-I RNA". It matches the Rfam family "malK-I RNA". The record is from RNAcentral.